AGGGAAUAUUGCGCAAUGGGGGUAACCCUGACGCAGCAACGCCGCGUGAGUGAGGAAGGCCUUCGGGUUGUAAAGCUCUGUCCUUAGGGAAAAAUGGUUUAUGUAUGAACAAUAUAUAGAUUUGAUGGUACCUGAGAAGAAAGCACCGGCUAACUUCGUGCCAGCAGCCGCGGUAAUACGAAGGGUGCAAGCGUUGUUCAGAUUUAUUGGGCGUAAAGGGCGUGUAGGCGGGUAAUUAAGUCAGGUGUGAAAUCUCGGGGCCUAACCCCGAAAGUGCGCCUGAAACUGGUUACCUAGAAUCUCGAAGGGGGAUAGGGAAUUUCGCAUGUAGGAGUAAAAUCCGUAGAGAUGCGAAGGAACACCCGGGGCGAAGGCGCUAUCCUGGUCGAGUAUUGACGCUAAGGCGCGAAAGCGUGGGGAUCAAAC
This 426-nucleotide ribosomal RNA is filed under the name uncultured bacterium. RNAcentral's name for it is "bacterial SSU rRNA". It matches the Rfam family "Bacterial small subunit ribosomal RNA", at positions 356 to 773 of the family's 1533-position model. The record is from RNAcentral.